RNAcentral lists this ribosomal RNA (581 nucleotides) under Scaeva selenitica. RNAcentral describes it as "eukaryotic LSU rRNA". Lineage: Eukaryota; Metazoa; Arthropoda; Insecta; Diptera; Syrphidae. The record is from RNAcentral.
AGUACGUGAAACUGCUUAGAGGUUAAACCCGAUGAACCUGAAUAUCCAUUAUGGAAAAUUCAUCACUAAUAAUAGAAUAUAUAAAUAAUAUUUUAUGAAUGGUGUGCAAUUUUUCCAUAUAAGGACAUUGUAAUCUGUUAAUGUAAUAAAUAUUUAUCAUAAGAUUCAUUACAUCAAGUUUAUUCAAAUUAUUUAUUUUCGGAUAUUUAACAUAGAAUAAAUGUUUUGGAUUUGAUAAAUCAUUGACAGAUAUAAUUAUAUAAUGUGCUUAAAUUUUUCGGAAUUUUAUCAAUGGUAGAAAAUUUAUUUUUUAUUUAAUUGUAUGCACUAUUAUGAUUAACAAUGCGAUAGAUUCAGGAUACCUUCGGGACCCGUCUUGAAACACGGACCAAGGAGUCUAACAUAUGUGCAAGUCAUUGGGUAUUUUUAAUAAAACCCAAUGGCAUAAUUAACUUAACUGCUAAUAAUGGGAUUAGUUUAUGUUUUAUAAUGAAAUAUAAAUUCAAUCCCGGGGCGUUCUAUAUAGUUAUGUAUAAUAGUAUUUAUAUUAUUUAUGCCUCUAACUUGAGCGUACCUUGAGC